GAAACAUCUAAGUAGCUGCAGGAAAAGAAAUCAACCGAGAUUCCCAAAGUAGCGGCGAGCGAAAUGGGAAGAGCCUGUACGUGAUAGUCGGACCGAUAACAGAAUCCUCUGGAAAGUGGAGCCAUAGUGGGUGAUAGCCCCGUAUGUGAAAUCGGACCGGUGGUACUAAGCGUACGACAAGUAGGGCGGGACACGUGACAUCCUGUCUGAAUAUGGGGGGACCAUCCUCCAAGGCUAAAUACUC
Molecule: ribosomal RNA, 244 nt
Filed under: Janthinobacterium sp. FT14W
Lineage: Bacteria; Pseudomonadati; Pseudomonadota; Betaproteobacteria; Burkholderiales; Oxalobacteraceae
Description: partial 23S ribosomal RNA
Rfam family: Bacterial large subunit ribosomal RNA
Source: RNAcentral